This 334-nucleotide unclassified non-coding RNA is filed under the name soil metagenome. RNAcentral's name for it is "partial contains 5.8S ribosomal RNA, internal transcribed spacer 2, and large subunit ribosomal RNA". The stretch from base 1 to 120 matches the Rfam family "5.8S ribosomal RNA", at positions 35 to 154 of the family's 154-position model. The record is from RNAcentral.
GAUGAAGAACGCAGCGAAAUGCGAUAAGUAAUGUGAAUUGCAGAAUCCAGUGAAUCAUCGAAUCUUUGAACGCACAUUGCGCCCGCCAGUAUCCUGGCGGGCAUGCCUGUCCGAGCGUCAUUUCAACCAUCAAGCCCCAGGCUUGUGUUGGGGACCUGCGUCCGACGCAGGCCCUGAAAACCAGUGGCGGGCUCGCUGUCCACACCGAGCGUAGUAACUAACCUCGCUACGGGAGCGGCGCGGGCGCCUGCCGUAAAACCCCCAAUUUUCACAAGGUUGACCUCGGAUCAGGUAGGAAUACCCGCUGAACUUAAGCAUAUCAAUAAGCGGAGGA